RNAcentral lists this ribosomal RNA (548 nucleotides) under uncultured Glomeromycotina. RNAcentral's name for it is "SSU rRNA". It matches the Rfam family "Eukaryotic small subunit ribosomal RNA", at positions 548 to 1098 of the family's 1831-position model. Lineage: Eukaryota; Fungi; Glomeromycota. The record is from RNAcentral.
UUGGAGGGCAAGUCUGGUGCCAGCAGCCGCGGUAAUUCCAGCUCCAAUAGCGUAUAUUAAAGUUGUUGCAGUUAAAAAGCUCGUAGUUGAAUUUCGGGAUCAGAGUGUCGGUCGUGCCUCGGUACGCACUGGUAUUAUUGGUUCCUACCUUCUGAAGAACCGCGAUGUCAUUAAUUUGGAGUCGUGGGGAAUCAGGACUGUUACUUUGAAAAAAUUAGAGUGUUUAAAGCAGGCUUACGCUUGAAUACAUUAGCAUGGAAUAAUGAAAUAGGACGUUUGAUUCUAUUUUGUUGGUUUCUAGGAUUGACGUAAUGAUUAAUAGGGAUAGUUGGGGGCAUUAGUAUUCAAUUGUCAGAGGUGAAAUUCUUGGAUUUAUUGAAGACUAACUACUGCGAAAGCAUUUGCCAAGGAUGUUUUCAUUAAUCAAGAACGAAAGUUAGGGGAUCGAAGACGAUCAGAUACCGUCGUAGUCUUAACCAUAAACUAUGCCGACUAGGGAUCGGAUGAUGUUAAUUUUUUAAUGACUCAUUCGGCGCCUUACGGGAAAC